CAUGCAAGUCGAACGAGAAAGCAUCUUCGGAUGUAAGUACAGUGGCGGACGGGUGAGUAAUACAUAGGAAUCUACCCAAUGGUGGGGGAUAGCUCGGGGAAACUCGAAUUAAUACCGCAUAAUCUCUACGGAGUAAAGGGGGCUUCGGCUCUCGCCAUCGGAUGAGCCUAUGCAGGAUUAGCUUGUUGGUGAGGUAAUGGCUUACCAAGGCAACGAUCCUUAGCUGGUUUGAGAGGAUGACCAGCCACAUCGGGACUGAGACACGGCCCGGACUUCUACGGAAGGCAGCAGUAGGGAAUAUUGGACAAUGAGCGAAAGCUUGAUCCAGCCAUGCCGCGUGUGUGAUGACGGCCUUCGGGUUGUAAAGCACUUUAGGUAAUGAGGAAAAAUUAGAUGUUAAUACCACCUAAUCAUGACGUUAAUUACAGAAUAAGCACCGGCUAAAUCCGUGCCAGCAGCCGCGGUAAUACGGAUGGUGCAAGCGUUAAUCGGAAUUACUGGGCGUAAAGCGCGCGUAGGUGGCACACCAAGUUAGAUGUGAAAUCCCAGGGCUUAACCUUGGAACUGCAUCUAAAACUGGUGAGCUAGAGUACUAGAGAG
This 600-nucleotide ribosomal RNA is filed under the name uncultured Gammaproteobacteria bacterium. RNAcentral describes it as "bacterial SSU rRNA". It matches the Rfam family "Bacterial small subunit ribosomal RNA", at positions 54 to 656 of the family's 1533-position model. Lineage: Bacteria; Pseudomonadati; Pseudomonadota; Gammaproteobacteria. The record is from RNAcentral.